Molecule: ribosomal RNA, 445 nt
Filed under: Asaphes suspensus
Lineage: Eukaryota; Metazoa; Arthropoda; Insecta; Hymenoptera
Description: partial 16S ribosomal RNA
Source: RNAcentral
GCUCAAUGAAUUUUAAAUAGCUGCAGUAUCAUGACUGUACAAAGGUAGCAUAAUCAUUUGUCUUUUUAUUAAAGUCUAGUAUGAAUGAUUUAAUGAAAUAAAAUCUGUCUCAAAUUAAAAAUUAAAUUUUAUUAUAAGUUAAAAUUCUUAUAUUUAAUUAAAAGACGAGAAGACCCUAUAGAAUUUAAUAAUAUUAAAUUUUAUUUAUUAUAUAGAUAUUUUUUUAAAUAAUUUUUUUAUUAUUUUGUUGGGGUGACAAAAAAAAUUAAUAAAUUUUUUUAAUAAAUUAACAUUAAUCAAUGAAUAUAAUUUAUCCAUUUUUAAUGAAUACAAAAUAAAUUACCUUAGGGAUAACAGCGUAAUUUUUUUAAAGAGAUCAUAUUGAUAAAAAAGUUUGCGACCUCGAUGUUGAAUUAAGAUACAUUAAUAUUGUAGAAAAUAUUAU